Cyanistes caeruleus (blue tit) is the source of this 784-nucleotide non-coding RNA. NCBI's taxonomy places the organism in Eukaryota, Metazoa, Chordata, Aves, Passeriformes, Paridae. The record is from RefSeq and is a predicted model, not a curated record.
GGAGGAGCAAGGCCAGAAGCUGAUCUGGAGCUAAACAGAAGCAUACUGUGGGUCAGGAAAACACCAGGGGUUUACUAAAGGGCUCUCCAAUGGCGAUGCCCUAAAAUUAGUCUCCAGGGGCUUAGCCAUUCCAGUUAUCUUCAAACAAGGGCUUCACCUUAACCAGCUUUGAAAAUGCUCCUGUUCACACACAGGUUGCACUCUCAGAGUCAGAUAUUUCCAAUACUUUCCUAAGAAAGACUAUGCUGAAGUUAUUUCUCCUUGGGACAGAUUCACAGCUGGAGUGAAUACAGGCACCUUCAACUAUAAUCUCAGUUUACAAGAGCUGGGGUUUCAGCCAGCUGAUUUUCACAGCUCCUAACUGCAUCAAGCAAGGCUGUACAAUUCCUCUCUUCUCCUUCCUCCCUUGAAGAAGAGGCAUUGUAUACACCUUUCCAUCCCUUUUCCUCUCGGAAAAUCAGUUCCAGAGGGUCACAGGGGAGUUCACACAUCGCAGAAGGGAACUUGUUGUGCAAUGGCCACUACCAUUAAUACCUUUGAUAUGGAAAUAAAAGGAAGCAAUUGCUUCAACAAUUCUCUAUAUUCCUUCAGUCUGUACAGACUAGUGCUUGCCUACCUCACAGAAACUGUGUGAAGCAAGAAUGAUAAGAACUGAGAAAUGCUGACGUACUAAACUGGGAGAAGAUUUAUAACUGGCUUAGAUAAACUAAAGGAAGAAAGUAUUAACUCAUACUGAAGAAAAUCAGAGUGGUUUUUAACCUAGAAAUGUCAUGUCCUCAGCAGC